GGAAUAUCAGCCCAAGCAAGGAUAUCAGCCGAAGAAACAAAAUGGCAAGCUUCAGAAUUUUGCUUCCUCUGCUCCUUCUGGGGCUGAUGGAGGUUAAAGCUACUGAAGUCCGAGGGCUUUCCUAUUACGAUGCCCUAACAAUUGCUAUGAGCCAUUUCAAUAGCAAAUGUGAUGAGAAAAAUGCCUACUGGAUAACUGCAACUAGACCCCAACUUAAGUGGGAUAGAAAAUCCAAAGAACUCCACCGUAUGGGUUUUACUAUACAAGAAACUGAAUGCCUGAAAGGAGAAACCCGCACUCCUAGCAAAUGUGCCUUCAAAAAAGACGGGGAAGAGAAGUAUUGUCGGGCAGCAGUCAAAUUCAUCUGUGACGGUGAAGCUGAUGUUUGGGUCCGCUGUUCUCCCAUGGCGAGUAACACGAUUGUCAGAAGAAGCAAAAGAGGAAUUAAAGUUCCUGGUUUCGUGAAAAAGUUCCUCAAAGAUGUUGUUAGUGAGACCAUUUCCCAUAGUAUUCCUAAAGCCAUUUCAGCAGUGAAUAAACUUAUUAAAAAAAAGAAAAAAGGUGCUACAACACCACGUGUGAAGUAAGAAGACCUGAGCUCAGACACUAGCUAUGCAAUCCUGGAUAAAUGUCUUAAUCUCUUCUACCUUGGUUUCCUUGAAUGUAAAAUAGGAAUAAUAACAGCACCUACCUCCCAGGGUUUUUGUGAGGAGCAAGAGAUAACAACUGUAAAGUAAUGCCAUAUAGUUGGUGCUUAUUUAAUACUUGUACCCUUAAUUUCCCUCAUGUGUAAAUAAAGACUUCUUUUUAUAAUCCA
Long non-coding RNA from Monodelphis domestica (gray short-tailed opossum), 817 nucleotides. The record is from Ensembl. NCBI's taxonomy places the organism in Eukaryota, Metazoa, Chordata, Mammalia, Didelphimorphia, Didelphidae.